CUUCUGGAUUCUGCAUUUCUCUUGGAUGAAGACACUGAUGGUAACCUAUGAAAGCUGUAGCUGUGUGUGUAGUUAGUUUUGGAGGAAGAAGCUACACGCUGGAGAUACUGACGUAUAAUUGUGUCUUGAUGAUGAGCGGUGUGUGUGUAUCUUCUGUGAUGAACGUGAGCACAAGAUAUUAAAAAAAGCACUCUGUACAUCCAAAGAAAGGUACUUUCUUAGUUUCUGGUUCGUCUUUAGGGCUCCCUCACCGGCUUCUUAUUGAGUUAAUGAAGUGAAGUCUCUUCAGCAUUUGGCAGUGAAGUAAAGAGCGGUGUGGGUAGUUUUGUUAAAUUAUACAAGAAACUGUAAAUGUUCAGCCUGAUACCAGUCAUGUAUUAAAGAUGUGUCUCUCACUGGAUUUUUUAAUACAUCAUGACUUUUUGUUUUAUUUUAUAAGCUAACCGUUUAAGUUCUUUUAGAACAGAAACGCUGCACAGAAGGAUGCUAGCUGUGCAUUAUGCAAGAAUGAGUCGCAGUAUGUUUCUAGUACAGACGUUGUGAUGCCGAUGUACAGUAGGUCUGAAAGGGGCCGAAAUGUAACCAAAUGUCAUCUUAACUGGUUUGUGUUCCUCAAUAGCAUCUGCUCACAUUCAGCUGCAUAGACGGACUGCUCUAGAACCUGUGUGAGAUUUGUUUUGACACCUUUUCUGUCCGAAGGUCGUCCUAACGGUGAAGCAUUUGUCAUCUUCAGUUUCUUGAUCAAUAAAAGUUGGUAUUAAA
Carassius carassius (crucian carp) is the source of this 762-nucleotide long non-coding RNA. RefSeq lists it as uncharacterized. The record is from RefSeq and is a predicted model, not a curated record. The transcript is spliced from 2 exons. NCBI's taxonomy places the organism in Eukaryota, Metazoa, Chordata, Actinopteri, Cypriniformes, Cyprinidae.